RNAcentral lists this ribozyme (195 nucleotides) under Anopheles stephensi (Asian malaria mosquito). Its description in RNAcentral is "drz-agam-2-2 ribozyme". It matches the Rfam family "drz-agam-2-2 ribozyme". The record is from Rfam by way of RNAcentral. Lineage: Eukaryota; Metazoa; Arthropoda; Insecta; Diptera; Culicidae.
CCGAGAUACUUUGCUGGUAUGGGACUUAAUCCGAAGCCACUUAGAGGAAAUCUCAGGCCUACCAUUUCCUGCUCCGACUCAAUACCUUCAUGACUCAGGGAAGCGGUAAUAUGUCUCUUCAAAGAGCUUGAGCUUGAGUGUAUUGGGGAAACCCCACUACUUGGAAUGAUGAGUGAUAUGGGCAAACCGAGCUGA